Molecule: ribosomal RNA, 388 nt
Filed under: Salmonella enterica
Lineage: Bacteria; Pseudomonadati; Pseudomonadota; Gammaproteobacteria; Enterobacterales; Enterobacteriaceae
Description: partial 23S ribosomal RNA
Rfam family: Bacterial large subunit ribosomal RNA
Source: RNAcentral
GUUAAGCGACUAAGCGUACACGGUGGAUGCCCUGGCAGUCAGAGGCGAUGAAGGGCGUGCUAAUCUGCGAUAAGCGCCGGUAAGGUGAUAUGAACCGUUAUAACCGGCGAUACCCGAAUGGGGAAACCCAGUGUGACUCGUCACACUAUCAUUAACUGAAUCCAUAGGUUAAUGAGGCGAACCGGGGGAACUGAAACAUCUAAGUACCCCGAGGAAAAGAAAUCAACCGAGAUUCCCCCAGUAGCGGCGAGCGAACGGGGAGGAGCCCAGAGCCUGAAUCAGCAUGUGUGUUAGUGGAAGCGUCUGGAAAGGCGCGCGAUACAGGGUGACAGCCCCGUACACAAAAGCGCAUGUGCUGUGAGCUCGAUGAGUAGGGCGGGACACGUGG